GACGAACGCUGGCGGCGUGCUUAACACAUGCAAGUCGAACGGAAAGGCCCUGCUUUUGUGGGGUGCUCGAGUGGCGAACGGGUGAGUAACACGUGAGUAACCUGCCCUUGACUUUGGGAUAACUUCAGGAAACUGGGGCUAAUACCGGAUAGGAGCUCCUGCUGCAUGGUGGGGGUUGGAAAGUUUCGGCGGUUGGGGAUGGACUCGCGGCUUAUCAGCUUGUUGGUGGGGUAGUGGCUUACCAAGGCUUUGACGGGUAGCCGGCCUGAGAGGGUGACCGGCCACAUUGGGACUGAGAUAAGGCCCAGACUCCUACGGGAGGCAGCAGUGGGGAAUAUUGCACAAUGGGCGGAAGCCUGAUGCAGCCACGCCGCGUGCGGGAUGACGGCCUUCGGGUUGUAAACCGCUUUCGCCUGUGACGAAGCGUGAGUGACGGUAAUGGGUAAAGAAGCACCGGCUAACUACGUG
RNAcentral lists this ribosomal RNA (468 nucleotides) under uncultured bacterium. RNAcentral describes it as "partial 16S ribosomal RNA". It matches the Rfam family "Bacterial small subunit ribosomal RNA", at positions 28 to 507 of the family's 1533-position model. The record is from RNAcentral.